This 24-nucleotide non-coding RNA is filed under the name Arabidopsis thaliana (thale cress). Lineage: Eukaryota; Viridiplantae; Streptophyta; Magnoliopsida; Brassicales; Brassicaceae. The record is from RNAcentral.
GAUUUGGGUAAAAGUGCAUUCGGG